RNAcentral lists this transfer RNA (74 nucleotides) under Limulus polyphemus (Atlantic horseshoe crab). RNAcentral describes it as "tRNA-Thr". It matches the Rfam family "tRNA". Rfam says of the family: Transfer RNA (tRNA) molecules are approximately 80 nucleotides in length. Their secondary structure includes four short double-helical elements and three loops (D, anti-codon, and T loops). Lineage: Eukaryota; Metazoa; Arthropoda; Merostomata; Xiphosura; Limulidae. The record is from RNAcentral.
GGCGUCGUGGCUUAGUUGGUUAAAGCGCCUGUCUAGUAAACAGGAGAUCGUGGGUUCGAAUCCCACCGAUGCCU